CGGGGAGGUAGUGACGAAAAAUAACGAUACGGGACUCAUCCGAGGCCCCGUAAUCGGAAUGAGCACAUUUUAAAUCCUUUAACGAGGACCAAUUGGAGGGCAAGUCUGGUGCCAGCAGCCGCGGUAAUUCCAGCUCCAAUAGCGUAUAUUAAAGUUGUUGCGGUUAAAAAGCUCGUAGUUGAAUCUGUGUGUCACAGUGUCGGUUCACCGCUCGCGGUGUUUAACUGGCAUUAUGUGGUACGUCCUACCGGUAGACUUAGCUCCUCACGGGGCGGUCCAACCAAUAUCCCAUCGCGGUGCUCUUGAUUGAGUGUCGAGGUGGGCCGGUACUUUUACUUUGAACAAAUUAGAGUGCUUAAAGCAGGCUACUUUCGCCUGAAUAUUCUGUGCAUGGAAUAAUGAAAUAGGACCUCGGUUCUAUUUUGUUGGUUUUCGGAACUCCGAGGUAAUGAUUAAUAGGGACAGAUGGGGGCAUUCGUAUUGCGACGUUAGAGGUGAAAUUCUUGGAUCGUCGCAAGACGGACAGAAGCGAAAGCAUUUGCCAAAAAUGUUUUCAUUAAUCAAGAACGAAAGUUAGAGGUUCGAAGGCGAUCAGAUACCGCCCUAGUUCUAACCAUAAACGAUGCCAGCCAGCAAUCCGCCGAAGUUCCUCCGAUGACUCGACGGGCAGCUUCCGGGAAACCAAAGCUUUUGGGUUCCGGGGGAAGUAUGGUUGCAAAGCUGAAACUUAAAGGAAUUGACGGAAGGGCACCACCAGGAGUGGAGCCUGCGGCUUAAUUUGACUC
RNAcentral lists this ribosomal RNA (785 nucleotides) under Pachymelus peringueyi. RNAcentral's name for it is "SSU rRNA". It matches the Rfam family "Eukaryotic small subunit ribosomal RNA", at positions 457 to 1201 of the family's 1831-position model. Lineage: Eukaryota; Metazoa; Arthropoda; Insecta; Hymenoptera; Apidae. The record is from RNAcentral.